This 74-nucleotide transfer RNA is filed under the name Scleropages formosus (Asian bonytongue). RNAcentral's name for it is "tRNA-Ala". The record is from RNAcentral. Lineage: Eukaryota; Metazoa; Chordata; Actinopteri; Osteoglossiformes; Osteoglossidae.
CAGCAAGUGGAAUAGUGGUUAGAGCUGCUGUCUUGCAUGCAGUGGGUUAGGGUUUGAAUCCCACCUCUUGCUCU